RNAcentral lists this ribosomal RNA (407 nucleotides) under uncultured bacterium. RNAcentral describes it as "partial 16S ribosomal RNA". It matches the Rfam family "Bacterial small subunit ribosomal RNA", at positions 30 to 526 of the family's 1533-position model. The record is from RNAcentral.
AUUGAACGCUGGCGGCAGGCCUAACACAUGCAAGUCGAGCGGAUCGGCGGACGCGGGAGUAAUGCCUAUGAAUCUGCCUGUUACUGGGGGAUAACGUCCGGUAACGGACGCUAAUACCGCAUACUAUCGGAUUAGCCUAGGUCGGAUUAGCUAGUUGGUGGGGUAAAGGCCUACCAAGGCGACGAUCCGUAACUGGUCUGGGUGGAUGAUCAUUCACACGGGAACUGAGACACGGUCCAGACUCCUACGGGAGGCAGCAGUGGGGAAUAUUGGACAAUGGGCGAAAGCCUGAUCCAGCCAUGCCGCGUGUGUGAAGAAGGUCUUCGGAUUGUAAAGCACUUUAAGUUGGGAGGCGUUACCAACAGAAUAAGCACCGGCUAACUUCGUGCCAGCAGCCGCGGUAAUUC